RNAcentral lists this transfer RNA (56 nucleotides) under Capra hircus (goat). It matches the Rfam family "tRNA", at positions 8 to 63 of the family's 71-position model. From Rfam's summary of the family: Transfer RNA (tRNA) molecules are approximately 80 nucleotides in length. Their secondary structure includes four short double-helical elements and three loops (D, anti-codon, and T loops). The record is from Rfam by way of RNAcentral. Lineage: Eukaryota; Metazoa; Chordata; Mammalia; Artiodactyla; Bovidae. RNAcentral also lists the same sequence under 1 other name.
UAUCUCAGUUGGUAAAGAAUCUGCCUGCAAUGCAGGAGACCAGGGUUCAAUCCCUG